Salvia splendens (bonfire salvia) is the source of this 651-nucleotide long non-coding RNA. RefSeq lists it as uncharacterized. The transcript has 3 exons. NCBI's taxonomy places the organism in Eukaryota, Viridiplantae, Streptophyta, Magnoliopsida, Lamiales, Lamiaceae. The record is from RefSeq and is a predicted model, not a curated record.
AAUCAGGUUCCAUAAUUAAAAUUUUAAUGUCCGAUACAUCCAGCAAAAGUCAAACAAAAUUUAAUCUAUACAUCCUGCGUUCUAAGAAAAAUCGAAAACUUCAACGCGGACAGCUACAAACUUGAACCAAUCAUACCCACACCAAAUUAAAUGAACAAGUGAACAAAUACUAAAACAAUUACUUUAAUAUAAAAAUAAAAUAAAAAAAAUAAAAGAUUGAUAGGAUCGAUUUUUUUUCAGACACAGCAUUAAAUGCUGCAUUUAAUUAGUGCAUGCAAAUCAUAUCCCUUCCUGACGAAGGAGAAUAAUUUGAGAUAAGAAUAGGUAGGCAACUUGCUGAGUAUGCAUAUCACUUUCACUGCCUUGGUGAGUACGCAUCUAGAGAUACAAUCAAUUUCUUUUAUUCACCCCCACAUCAUCACCACACAGUCUAUUUUCUCUGCACACACCAACUCACAAAAGAUAGAGGAGUCCGAUGGAGAUUGCACAACUAAAAAAAAACGACAACCCAACACUUUACUUUCUGCAUCAACAAGUUUUCAAAAAGGUUACGUUCGCAAGUAAAGUCGGAACGAAAGAUUCAAGUUAAGGGAACUAAACGAUCAAGGUUGAGCAGCGAAGUGGUGGAGGAAGUGCUAUUGAGACAAGACA